This is a non-coding RNA of Oncorhynchus mykiss (rainbow trout), 1381 nucleotides long. NCBI's taxonomy places the organism in Eukaryota, Metazoa, Chordata, Actinopteri, Salmoniformes, Salmonidae. The record is from RefSeq and is a predicted model, not a curated record.
GGGCGGUCGAUUAUUGUUCCAAUGUCCGUUGUGUUUGUUUGGUCUUCGCCGCAACUCCGGCAGCUGCAACUGGGCCGUCCGACGCCGCCACAACCGGUCCGUCCAACGCCACUGCAACUGAUCCAUCCGACGCCGCUGCAACUCUGGCAGCGGCAACUGACGACGACGCAACUUCAGCAGCUGCAUCGGGUCCUGAUCGACCCGCACUGCGUUCCUGUCAUCUCCCUUGAGGCCGUUGUUGUUGUGAUCUUGGAUGCUAGACAGUUUGAGUCACUCAAUGCUUCAGUCUGUAUAAGUGACAACCAAUGUUAAAAUAAUACCUUCAAGUCAUGUGGCCAAGGGAUGUCUCCAUGGCUGUGAUGCAGACUGAAAUAUGGUUUUUGACAUCUAGUGGUGAUGAUACGCAAAUGCAGGUAAUUUGGUCCAAUAUUAUGCAGGAUUAAGUUUUCCCGUGGUAUUAAUUUAAUUAGCUAAAUCAACAAAAUAGUAGUAACUGACAUUUUGGUUAUGAUAUUACAAAUGGUAUUAUAUUCUAGGAUAUAUUAUCAUAUGCGUCAUGUAGACUCUACAGAGCCAGGACCCUCUUCAAGUGAUACAGUUUUGUCAGGGAGGAGUUUGAAAGUGGAGGAAGAGGUGAAAGACGGUGUGGGCAGUACCAAUGCAGAUUAUGAGGAUGAAGCAAAUGAGAGAAGGUGCACAGAAAGAGACAGACAGUGACUGAUCAGUGACUUUACUAGCAAGAUGGCUCGGCGCUGGGCUCUUGGUGAUUUAAGGCUGAGAAAGGGCCAGUGAUAACUGUUAAAUGGCAUGGAUAUUGAUUGGAUCACUACACACAUGAUGCCCACAGGCUGAGAACAGACUAAGAACAAGAUACUGUAUAUCUCAAAGGAAUGGCUGGAUUGCCAUAACAUUUGUUAUGCACAAUCAAGACCCCAAGUGGAAGAAACCCAUUGAUUUGGUGACCACUUGACCUUUCCUCUAGCGCCACCAUCAGGCCUUUUAUUUCCAUUUUGUUUUCCAUUUUCCACUUUUACAGCUGCUUAUUUACUAGUUGGUAUGUGUACUUAGUUAAAAAAUCUGCUGCUGAUUUUGUUUGUUAUAUCGUUCUAUAGAUGUUACUUUAUUUUUAUUGAAGAGGUUAAUGUAUAUGUAAGUUAUAUUUAUUUUAAGUUAUUUGUUAAUGUUAAGAUAAUUUUCCAUUCAACAAUUUUACAAUUACAUUUAGACUGUAAAAUAUGGCCUUUUAUCAUGUUUCUUAUAGAGGCUAUCAGUCUUGCAUCAAAUAGUGAAUUCCACUGUAUGCAGAAUGUUGCAUGCAUGUCUGCACAGUGUUAUAUUUUCACAGGUCACUGUCAAUAAAUAUUGUACAGUAAAUAUUGGA